Prosopis cineraria is the source of this 1988-nucleotide long non-coding RNA. RefSeq lists it as uncharacterized. The record is from RefSeq and is a predicted model, not a curated record. The transcript is spliced from 5 exons. Lineage: Eukaryota; Viridiplantae; Streptophyta; Magnoliopsida; Fabales; Fabaceae.
UUCCCUGAAAUUCAACAUGCAUCCAGCAAUUCGGUCUCAUCCCUCAUGGGACCCCAACGUCCACUUGUUCUACUAAUUGGAAGGAGGAAUAGAAGCGGUGGCGAGGAACGAUGGCGUCCGAAAUUUCUACUUGAUGCAUGGUGCUGAAAAUGAAGCUAGAACACUAGAUAACCUUUAAAAACUUGCUCCGCUCUCUCUUCUCUUCUCUUUUGACCCAUUGGAAUCUUCAUGUAGUGAUGUUUUAGUGCUUCUCAAUUCUGGACAGAAGUGGGAAUUUAGAAAGUGCGAACAUUCAUUGUUGGAAGGUAAGCUUCACAAUUGGGAUUUUCAGAUUGUGGGUUUUAUUGGAGAGUUGAAUCAAGCCAUUUUUCAGCAUAGCGGUAAAAUCCUUCCCACCAUUCUGGCGUCAUUUUGAGUUCUGAGUUGCAUAUAUAAGGAUCAGUUUGGUUGUUAGCCGCAAUAUAGCAGCAAUUGAAGCUAGGAUACAAGGGAUGAAGAAAACGUGUUAAAGCAUUCAAAUUGCAGUGACUGUUGGAAGCAUGGUAAUGUGGUAAUUGGAGGCAGUAAUAUUGAGUUAUGUGCAAGUAACAGCUUUAAUUGGUGAAAGAGUAAAGGAAAAAAGGAAGAAACUUGAGGAAAAUGGCACCAAGAAGGCGAAGUCAAUCUAGCAAAUCAACUAGAAACUCAUCUGAUAGGAGUUUGAUUAAUGCUAUUGAAGGAAUGGCUGUUGCAAUGCGAGAGCAAGCAGAAGCAACGGCUACUGCCAGCAGAGAACAAACUACCGCUACUGCACGUUUGGUCUAGAUGUUUCAGGACCCAAAGAUGAGGAUUCAAAUCCUGUUGAGAAUCAAGAAGGGGAUCUAGAAGAACAGUUGCCUACUAAUGAAACAUAUAAUGCACCAAAUUCUAUGCAAAACCAAAAUUUCUAUGGUUUGGUUGAAUUUAGGAAGGCUAAGCCACCAUCUUUUCAAGGAGGGUACAAUCCUGAUGUUGCAGAUGAGUUAUUGGAGCACAUGGAGAAAAUUUUUGAGUUUAUGGGAUGUUUUGAUACCUAGAAGGUAUCUUUUGCAACUUAUAUGUUGGUUGGAGAAGCAUACAAUUUGUGGAAGGAGACUAAACGGACAAUGGAAGCUCAUGAAGUGGAAAUCACUUGGGAAGGAUUUAAGAUGUCUUUUCUUGACAAGUAUUUUUUGGAGAACGUGAAACAUGAGAAAGAAAUUGAAUUUUUGCAUCUGGUUCAAGGGAUGAUGACCGUGGAUCAAUAUGUUGCCAAGUUUGAGAUGCUGUCAAAGUACUCAUCUUUCUUACAUACUAAUCCUGCCAAGUCAUAGAAGGCUAGGGAGUUUGAAGUAGGAUUGAGAUUUGAUAUUCAAAGAGCAAUGAUUGCAAUGGAGAUACAAGAUUUUACUAUACUAGUGAAUAAGUGUAGAGUUGUGGAGAAGCAGUUGAUGGAGGUUGAAUGGGAUAAGCAAAGGAAGAAUUUUUGGAACAAACGCAAAAUGGGCAACCUUCAGAAAAAGAACUUCAAACCCUUAAUCAAUUACAAGAAAAGUAGGACUUUAACCCCUUAUAGCAAAUGUGGUAAAUCACACAAGAAUCAACAUUGCUACCUUAGUCAAAAUGUUUGCUACAAAUGUGGGAAGGCUGGCCAUUAUAUGAAGCAAUGUCCAAAGAAUAAGGGUAAGGCACUUGAGGGGAAGAAUUCUAUUCAAAGGCCAAUGACAAAAGGGAGGGUCUUUACUAUGAGUGGAAAGGAAGCAAAGAAAUCCACGAACCUGGUACAAGGUGCUGAUACUCUGGAUCGUUUUCAAGGUUGAUUGUCUACUCUGCCAUCAUCAUGUGGGGUUUUUAUGCGAAUAAGUUUGGGAUUGUGAUUUUGGAUGUAACAUAAUUCUAAUCCUUCAUGCACCAUAACCCCAAGGUGUAAGACAAUUAUGUAAUGUGUUAUUUUGAUGUCAUAUGUAUAAACUGUAGAACUCUGACAGACA